CGACAGGAGACGCAUCCAUCCAUGAUGUAUACGACUAAAAUAGUCUAGCUUGCUACAUUUCCAGAUAUUACACGUUUCAGAUUUUGAUAGAAAGUGGUUUCAUUUCAAGUUAAAGUGUACUCUUAGCUAGCUAACGUUAGCUGGCUGGCUCGCUAGCUAUCUUUAGUGUAUGAUCUUAUUAUUCAUAUCUCAGAGCCAUUUGCUUGACCAUUUGCUAGCUACAUGUCUUAACAAAACUCCACUAAGUAUCCAUUUCAAUAGAAUGCCACUGCAACAAUUGUUGAUAGAUGUACUAGCUGGUAAAUUCGCUCUGGCUAUCUACUCCGAUUUCAGACCACGGUCCCCAGUUGUCUUGAAAGCACCAUAAGUCCAGAGAAUGCCAGACUUUGAUGACAACAUUUGCCCACGAAGGACCGUCGCGCCACCUUCCUGUUUAAGUGUGCACAGCACAACAAGGUCAGUUGGAGCUGGAGUUGGACCCUGAAAGCAACAAACUUCUACUGCACAGGUCACCAGAAGAUGCAGGACCAGAACAGCCUGUCUACCGUCUAUUCAUUGCAGAAUACCAUGAUUAUCUACAGGGCAGACAAAAGGCCCUCAGCAUUUGAGGCCAAACACAGUAAGCAAUACUAAGUGCUGUAUACUUAGUAUUGCUUGCUGUGUUAGGGAUCUGAGCUACAAUGGCCCACGGUAGAAUCUUCAGUAUCA
RNAcentral lists this long non-coding RNA (708 nucleotides) under Salmo salar (Atlantic salmon). RNAcentral describes it as "lncRNA (ENSSSAG00000109578.1)". The record is from RNAcentral. Lineage: Eukaryota; Metazoa; Chordata; Actinopteri; Salmoniformes; Salmonidae.